This 496-nucleotide ribosomal RNA is filed under the name uncultured bacterium. RNAcentral's name for it is "partial 16S ribosomal RNA". It matches the Rfam family "Bacterial small subunit ribosomal RNA", at positions 29 to 507 of the family's 1533-position model. The record is from RNAcentral.
AUGAACGCUGGCGGCGUGCCUAAUACCUGCAAGUCGCGCGCACGGACGAGAAGCUUGCUUCUCUGAUGUUAGCGGCGGACGGGUGAGUAACACGUGGAUAACCUACCUAUAAGACUGGGAUAACUUCGGGAAACCGGAGCUAAUACCGGAUAAUAUUUUGAACCGCAUGGUUCAAAAGUGAAAGACGGUCUUGCUGUCACUUAUAGAUGGAUCCGCGCUGCAUUAGCUAGUUGGUAAGGUAACGGCUUACCAAGGCAACGAUGCAUAGUCGACCUGAGAGGGUGAUCGGCCACACUGGAACUGAGACACGGUCCAGACUCCUACGGGAGGCAGCAGUAGGGAAUCUUCCGCAAUGGGCGAAAGCCUGACGGAGCAACGCCGCGUGAGUGAUGAAGGUCUUCGGAUCGUAAAACUCUGUUAUUAGGGAAGAACAUAUGUGUAAGUAACUGUGCACAUCUUGACGGUACCUAAUCAGAAAGCCACGGCUAACUACGUG